GGCCUUGCUCUUAUGUCAUCUGACUAAAGGUUUCAUAGACCAAAGAUAACCAUCCAACCUGUUGGAAUACUGAAACAAUUGCUGCCUGCUGUCCACACACGACAUAAAAUAUGUGGAUUUCCUAAAUUCUGAAAAAAAGAUUUGGAAGCUGAUCAAGCAAUACUGGAACAGCCUCUUCUCCAGAAGAGACAUCCUGGCCUCCAUGCAGAGGAAUGUGUGGAUGGACAUAUAUUUAAGGAAGACACUAAACCAGAAACUACUACAUUACACCCUCUCAGAAGACUUCUAAGAUUGUUGUCAUGCCCACCAGAGACAUUCAGAUGAUGUGUAUUCUUGAUUGUGAUUUCAUGUUUGGAGCUGAUGAAGGAGUUUGAAGUCUCCAGAGCAGCAAGGGGAGUGGGGAGUAGAACUCAUCAUCUUUAGGUCACUCAUCAUCG
RNAcentral lists this long non-coding RNA (437 nucleotides) under Mus musculus (house mouse). RNAcentral's name for it is "predicted gene 28993". The record is from RNAcentral. Lineage: Eukaryota; Metazoa; Chordata; Mammalia; Rodentia; Muridae.